UUGCAAUGCAAAAGCAGGGACAGUCCUGUCUUUGCAAGGCAGCUGCUAAGACCUAGGAGGGAUGCUGCCUACCCUUGUUGCCACCGACAGAACCAUAAAGAGGUGACUUCUCAAAGAUACAGCACUUGCAGUACUCUCUAUCUGAAAGCAAAGAAAGGGAAGAUGAGGGAAAUAAUUUCUUCAGUUAAGUAUUUCCCUGGAAGAAAUUGGAAGAAGCACAUUUCUACAACAGCUAACUGUUGAGCAAGAAGCAACAAAAAAGAGCAACUGCCAAUGUUUUAGCCAAGUCUAUCAGCACCCCAAGUCUGGGCUGCUUGUUAUAAUUCAAGUGCAUGUUUUAAUAGGAGUAAAGCCACGUUGGUUUGAAUGCACUGAAUGUCAGUAAAUCCCAAACAGAACUUCCUGGCUGUGGGCAAACACCAGCCUUGACUUGGACUCUGGUGAAAUUGCAUUUGAUCAUCACAUUCUAAUGCCUUUAUGAAUGAACUUGGCAUGCCAGGGUGUAGGAACACAGCCUGGCUCCUCCCUAGGACUCCUGUCUUGUCUUGCUUGAUUGUCAAGAGACAAAGAAGGUUUCUGGAGUGGAAUCUGGGACAAAAUCUCUCCCUGCACCUUUAGAGCCACUAAUUCCAGACCCAACA
Molecule: long non-coding RNA, 641 nt
Organism: Passer domesticus (house sparrow)
Lineage: Eukaryota; Metazoa; Chordata; Aves; Passeriformes; Passeridae
Exons: 4
Source: RefSeq, a predicted model, not a curated record